GUUGAAACUCCGAAUCCCGUACAAUCAUCGAAGUUAAGCAACGUCGAGCCUCGUCAGUAUCUAGAUGGGUGGCGGCUUGGGAAUACGAGGCGCUGUAA
This is a non-coding RNA of Acanthosepion pharaonis, 98 nucleotides long. NCBI's taxonomy places the organism in Eukaryota, Metazoa, Mollusca, Cephalopoda, Sepiida, Sepiidae. The record is from the annotation of a GenBank genome assembly.